AGCCUGAGCACACGAUGAGCUGGUGGCUAGGUUCUUGGCUGCCUGGCCUCCUUUACAUCCUACUAUUUUUUUCAGCCCAGCCCAGCUCUAUUGACUUCCUGCUGAUUUGGGAAGAUGGAGUCUCUCUCUGUCACCCAGGCUGGACUACAAUAGUGCUAUCUCGGUUCACUGUGACCUCCACCUCCCAGGUUCAAGCAAUUCUCCUGCCUCAGCCUCCUGAGUAGCUGGGAUUACAGAGUCCCUCUCAUGACACGUGGAAAUUAUGGAAACUACAAUUCAAGAUGAGACUUUGGUGGGGACACAGCCAAACCAUAUCAAUACCUGUUAUAUACUAGGCAUUCAAUAAAAAGUUUCUCAAUUAAUAAAUGAAUGAAUAAGUAAAUCUAAAGACCAAAGCACUGUUCUUUUCUUCUAAAACAUUUGCCUGAUCACCUCAGGACAGUAACACUCCAUAUUGAACACUGGAAGUAGUUAAAUAACUUACUCUUUUUUGCUUUAAGUGUUCUCUAGUCUAGUGAAGGAGAUGGGGUUCAUUUCAGGGUCUAUAAAAAUGGCUAGAGAAUGGGGAAUUUUGGUUGAGGACUUAGGGUAUGUCAUAACUGAAUGUUGGCAAUGAGAUUGGAUAAAACAGGUAUUGACCAGCUAUGAAAGUCAAUGAAUGAUCAUUUUUAUUUAAAAAUUUAUAAAAUAUUUUCUACAGAGAGAAGAAGAAUAUUGCCUAAAGAUUUUAAAGACAAUAGAAGAACUAGAUCUGAGAAGAAAGAGGACACAGAGCUCAGGUGUACCAUAAUGAAAUGAGGGUGCCAUAGCAGAGUUUGCAGCCAGAGUCAAAGACAGCUGAAACUGAAGGAAUUCUUCACUGACCUUGCUGUCAUUGCUCUCCUUUGUAGUACAAAUUUUCUUGUCAUACUCAAGUUUCAUUUGCAUCAGUCUCUUUAAAUCUGACUCAUUUUCUGUUCACUGCUAGCAUGAUGCUAUAGCCUGUCUGAAAGUAUCUAAUCAGAGGGUGGAAGCAUGGAAAAGACAGUCUCUCUCCCCCUAUUGUCCUGCCGGCAUCCCUCAAGGGCCACAUUGCUGCCUA
RNAcentral lists this long non-coding RNA (1081 nucleotides) under Callithrix jacchus (white-tufted-ear marmoset). RNAcentral's name for it is "lncRNA (ENSCJAG00000073151.1)". Lineage: Eukaryota; Metazoa; Chordata; Mammalia; Primates; Cebidae. The record is from RNAcentral.